CCUACGGGAGGCAGCAGUGAGGAAUAUUGGUCAAUGGACGAGAGUCUGAACCAGCCAAGUAGCGUGAAGGAUGACUGCCCUAUGGGUUGUAAACUUCUUUUAUAUGGGAAUAAAAUGUUCCACGUGUGGGAUUUUGUAUGUACCAUAUGAAUAAGGAUCGGCUAACUCCGUGCCAGCAGCCGCGGUAAUACGGAGGAUCCGAGCGUUAUCCGGAUUUAUUGGGUUUAAAGGGAGCGUAGGUGGAUUGUUAAGUCAGUUGUGAAAGUUUGCGGCGCAACCGUAAAAUUGCAGUUGAAACUGGCAGUCUUGAGUACAGUAGAGGUGGGCGGAAUUCGUGGUGUAGCGGUGAAAUGCUUAGAUAUCACGAAGAACUCCGAUUGCGAAGGCAGUUCACUGGACUGCAACUGACGCUGAGGCUCGAAAGUGUGGGUAUCAAACAGGAUUAGAUACCCGAGUAGUC
This 460-nucleotide ribosomal RNA is filed under the name uncultured bacterium. RNAcentral describes it as "partial 16S ribosomal RNA". It matches the Rfam family "Bacterial small subunit ribosomal RNA", at positions 338 to 795 of the family's 1533-position model. The record is from RNAcentral.